This 1346-nucleotide ribosomal RNA is filed under the name uncultured bacterium. Its description in RNAcentral is "partial 16S ribosomal RNA". It matches the Rfam family "Bacterial small subunit ribosomal RNA", at positions 28 to 1381 of the family's 1533-position model. The record is from RNAcentral.
GACGAACGCUGGCGGCGUGCUUAACACAUGCAAGUCGAACGGAAAGGCCCUGCUUUUGUGGGGUGCUCGAGUGGCGAACGGGUGAGUAACACGUGAGUAACCUGCCCUUGACUUUGGGAUAACUUCAGGAAACUGGGGCUAAUACCGGAUAGGAGCUCCUGCUGCAUGGUGGGGGUUGGAAAGUUUCGGCGGUUGGGGAUGGACUCGCGGCUUAUCAGCUUGUUGGUGGGGUAGUGGCUUACCAAGGCUUUGACGGGUAGCCGGCCUGAGAGGGUGACCGGCCACAUUGGGACUGAGAUACGGCCCAGACUCCUACGGGAGGCAGCAGUGGGGAAUAUUGCACAAUGGGCGGAAGCCUGAUGCAGCAACGCCGCGUGCGGGAUGACGGCCUUCGGGUUGUAAACCGCUUUCGCCUGUGACGAAGCGUGAGUGACGGUAAUGGGUAAAGAAGCACCGGCUAACUACGUGCCGGCAGCCGCGGUGAUACGUAGGGUGCGAGCGUUGUCCGGAUUUAUUGGGCGUAAAGGGCUCGUAGGUGGUUGAUCGCGUCGGAAGUGUAAUCUUGGGGCUUAACCCUGAGCGUGCUUUCGAUACGGGUUGACUUGAGGAAGGUAGGGGAGAAUGGAAUUCCUGGUGGAGCGGUGGAAUGCGCAGAUAUCAGGAGGAACACCAGUGGCGAAGGCGGUUCUCUGGGCCUUUCCUGACGCUGAGGAGCGAAAGCGUGGGGAGCGAACAGGCUUAGAUACCCUGGUAGUCCACGCUGUAAACGGUGGGUACUAGGUGUGGGGUCCAUUCCACGGGUUCCGUGCCGUAGCUAACGCUUUAAGUACCCCGCCUGGGGAGUACGGCCGCAAGGCUAAAACUCAAAGGAAUCGACGGGGCCCCGCACAAGCGGCGGAGCAUGCGGAUUAAUUCGAUGCAACGCGUAGAACCUUACCUGGGUUUGACAUGGAUCGGGAGUGCUCAGAGAUGGAUGUGCCUCUUUUGGGGUCGGUUCACAGGUGGUGCAUGGCUGUCGUCAGCUCGUGUCGUGAGAUGUUGGGUUAAGUCCCGCAACGAGCGCAACCCUUGUUCACUGUUGCCAGCACGUUAUGGUGGGGACUCAGUGGAGACCGCCGGGGUCAACUCGGAGGAAGGUGGGGAUGACGUCAAGUCAUCAUGCCCCUUAUGUCCAGGGCUUCACGCAUGCUACAAUGGCUGGUACAGAGAGUGGCGAGCCUGUGAGGGUGAGCGAAUCUCGGAAAGCCGGUCUCAGUUCGGAUUGGGGUCUGCAACUCGACCUCAUGAAGUCGGAGUCGCUAGUAAUCGCAGAUCAGCAACGCUGCGGUGAAUACGUUCCCGGGGCU